GACGAACGCUGGCGGCGUGCUUAACACAUGCAAGUCGCACGAUGAAGCCGGCGCUUGCUCUGGUGAAUUAGUGGCGAACGGGUGAGUAACACGUGAGUAACCUGCCCUUGACUCUGGGAUAACUGCGGGAAACUGUAGCUAAUAACGGAUACGACCCUCGGAGGCAUCUCCUGGGGGUGGAAAGAAUUUCGGUCAAGGAUGGACUCGCGGCCUAUCAGCUAGUUGGUGAGGUAACGGCGCACCAAGGCGACGACGGGUAGCCGGCCUGAGAGGGUGAGCGGCCACACUGGGACUGAGACACGGCCCAGACUCCUACGGGAGGCAGCAGUGGGGAAAAUUGCACAAUGGGCGCAAGCCUGAUGCAGCAACGCCGCGUGAGGGAUGACGGCCUUCGGGUUGUACACCUCUUUUAGCAGGGAAGAAGCGAAAGUGGCGGUACCUGCAGAAAAAGCACCGGCUAACUACGUGCCAGCAGCCGCUGUAA
RNAcentral lists this ribosomal RNA (484 nucleotides) under uncultured bacterium. Its description in RNAcentral is "partial 16S ribosomal RNA". It matches the Rfam family "Bacterial small subunit ribosomal RNA", at positions 28 to 523 of the family's 1533-position model. The record is from RNAcentral.